RNAcentral lists this transfer RNA (58 nucleotides) under Salmo salar (Atlantic salmon). It matches the Rfam family "tRNA", at positions 8 to 63 of the family's 71-position model. From Rfam's summary of the family: Transfer RNA (tRNA) molecules are approximately 80 nucleotides in length. Lineage: Eukaryota; Metazoa; Chordata; Actinopteri; Salmoniformes; Salmonidae. The record is from Rfam by way of RNAcentral. RNAcentral also lists the same sequence under 2 other names.
UAGCUCAGUUGGUAGAGCAUGGUGUUUGCAACGCCAGGGUUGUGGGUUCAUUUCCCAC